This 591-nucleotide long non-coding RNA is filed under the name Theobroma cacao (cacao). RNAcentral's name for it is "long non-coding RNA (TCAC_LNC002201)". Lineage: Eukaryota; Viridiplantae; Streptophyta; Magnoliopsida; Malvales; Malvaceae. The record is from RNAcentral.
UCUCAAGCCUACCCUUAACAACAAUAACAAGAAACUCCCAGCUCCUACGUCGCCUCCAAAACCAGCAAAACAAGUUAACAAGCAACAGCCACGUAAGUGCUUAACUUUCCAUACCCUAGAAGAGUUGGACGCUAAGCUGUCUUCAAAACCUGCUGCAAACGAGUUAAGAAAAACGGAGUCAAUGGGAAAGGAGACGGGAACCAAAACCAAAACCAAAACCACCGAGUUAAACAACCCGGAGCCUUCAAAACCUGCUGCAAACGAGUUAAGAAAAACGGAGUCAAUGAGAAAGGAGACGGGAACCAAAACCAAAACCACCGAGUUAAACAACCCGGAGCCGCCAGUUCCAGACUCAACAGGGUUCAAGUCAGUAAAAGAGAACAUAUUCAUAUUAAGGGACAGACAAGAGAGGGAAAAAGAGGGAAGGAUGGGGAAUUACGAUAAAUUAAUGAGCAAACGAGACCCGUUGAGCCAGUUCCCAGAGAUGUGCCCACCAGGCGGUGCCGACUCGGUGGUCAUCUACACGACGUCGUUGAGAGGGGUUCGGCGUACGUUCGAGGAUUGCACCAAGGUCCGAGAGAUAUUCGAAAU